CUGCUGCCCGGCCAGCGGGCCAAAUGGCCACACGGGAAGGAGGGACAGAGGAGAAAAUAGUAGGCAAAGUGUUGGCGUGAGGCAGGUGGUGGAUGAGGCAGUCGCAAAGAGAAAGGAUUGCAACAUCAGGGAGGAGAUGAAAGGCCUCAUAUCAUUUUGCAGCCAACAAGAAACCUGAAGGAACUAAGUUUGGCUCUAUUUCUACAGCUUGUGAAAAGCUGAGAAUGGAAGCAAUGACUGGGCUAAUUCUGGACAAAAUUUUUUAAAAUGAUUUUUGUCAGAGGAGCCCAGAUCUUUGCCUCAAUUCUUUGCUUUUGUCUAAAUUGCUCAUUUUUCCAAAUUUCUUUCAAAAGGGUCUUCCUAUUCAUCAUAGUAUUAGAGGCAUUUGAUGGAAAAGUAGUGUGCCAAGGUGAUUAGUGACAACAACAACAAAAGCAACUUAUUUUUGAGCCUGUGAAAGGCCCUCUUCUAGACACUUUAUACAACAGCUGUAUCCUUAUUGAUAGCCCUGCAAGAAAAGCUAUUUUCCAAGAAGAAAAAGAAAAUGGAAGUACAAAUUUCCAACAGCACACAUUUUCUCUGCUCUCUCCUUGGCUCUGAAAGAGGAUGCGUGAAACAGAAUUUCAGGCUGUAAUUAAUGCAGCUCUUCAUAAGAUAAGAGGUUCUUUUAUCUACAGAAAAAUUGCUGCACUAAUUCCCAACAAGAAGUGCAAUGCUCCGGUUAAUGCUCUUUCUACAAGAAGAAUUCACCUUUUCUACCCUCUACAUAUUUACAGACAAAUUUGAAUAUUUUGUUAUGGGAAACUGAAGAUGGGUAAACAUACAAUGAUAAUAGUACUUUAUAGGGCUAAAUCUAAAAGCCUUAAAGAUUAAUAUUAUGUUUGGAUAAAUGCUGAAUAAGUUUACAUAAAGAAUUUUCAAAUAACAUUGACGCUACAGGCAUGUACUUGUAAGCACAGACCUUAAUUGGGCACAACUUAGAUCCAGCACUCUUUGAGGGGGAGAAUAAACAAAUUGGGAAAUGCAUCCUCAUUUGAUACAGUGAGGAAAAAGAGCUAUGGUUCCUUGCUCUGCUUUAAAGUACUGUCCAAAGAAGGAUGAAGCCCCGCUAUUUCAUUUUGAUUUAAAUAUUUCCUUGUAGAAUGCACAUUCCAAUUUGGAAACAAUACUUUCUAUAUGUAUGUUUCAUGUAUGUGCUUGGAAUAAUUGGUAAUGUGUUGGCACUGUGUUCCACUUAAAUGCAUGGCAUUUGUAUACUAUUUAAUGUUUUGUUGUUGUUGUUGUUUUUGAGAUGGAGUCUCAGUCUGUUGCCCAGGCUGGAGUGCAAUGGUGUGAUCUAGGCUCACUGCAACCUCUGCCUCCCGGGUUCAAGCAAUUCUCCUGCCUCAGCCUCCUGAGUAACUGGGAUUACAGGCGCCUGCCACCACGCCUGGCUAAUUUUUUUUUUUUUUUUUUUUUUUUUUUUUUUUUUUUUUUUUAGUAGAGAUGGGGUUUCUCCAUGUUGGCCAGACUGGUCUUGAACUCCUGAACUCAGGUGAUCCACACACCUUGGCCUCCCAAAGUGCUGGGAUUACAGGCGUGAGCCACUGCACCGGCCUUUUAAUGUUUUCUUAAAAACCAGUUUUCUAAGAAAAAAAGAAGAAUGGGAAUACAGCAAAUGAGUAGAAGACAGAGAUCACAAGAAUCGUGCCUGAGGUCCUGGCAAAGAAGACCCCACUGUAAGGCAGAAUGGCACCUCUGAUUCAUUGGCCCCUUUGUAUUGUUCUCAAUUUCUAUAUCCAUAAAUAAUAAGAUUUUCAUUCCCUUCCUUCCACUCUGUGAGGUGGAUGUGAAAUAGGUAGAGAGGUUUGUCACUGGGUGCAAGGCUAAGAUGCUCAGUUAAAGCAGGAAAUUACGUUGUUUGGCUGAGAAAUACGUGUAAUUUCUAAGUGUGAUUAUUGCAAGUAAAAAUGAGUGAUGUUUCAACAAGAGGGUUAUUGUAAUUCAGGGUAUAGCAACAAUUUUAAUGUAAGCGAGAAGAUGUUUGUAACACUUCCAAAAAAAUAGUACUGUAUCAGUCCAGUGUCCACUUUCCUCCAAACCUUCGUGCCCACGCACACACACAUAAAUACAUGCAGGAUUCCUGAGCAGGGAAGGAUCCUUUCUCACGUGUUCACAAAGAGACUUUUAAGCUCAGAACCUCUUGAGGGUGAGAAACUUUUCUUGGCAGACUAUCAACUGGUUCUGAGUGAACAAAUCCGACAGAGCCCUUUUCCUUGCUUCUUUUUGUUCAUAUUGUUCACCCUCUCACAGCAAGGAAGGCUGCUAGGUAGAGUAAGGGGACUCUCAAAGGAGAUGAAGGUAAAUUUUUCUGGAAUAGCUGCAGAGCAAUUCUAAUGCUUCAGUUAAUCUGUUACCUCUUUCCUUGCCCCUAGCCUUCAGUUUUCCUUUUGUAUCCUGAAAAUAACAUUGACAUUAAAUUGGGUCAGUGGAAAAAAAUCAGUCACCAACUGUUGCUUAUAAUUUUGCCCCCAAGAAAACAUUUGGUAACUAACCCUUAUCUAGAGUACACACUAUGCACAGCUCCUAGGGUGAUAUUUGAAUCUAUUCACCUUAGGGAAAGUUGUUGAUUCUUUUAGACUCAAAUUUCCACAAUCAGAAAAUUCACCUAAUGCCUUUCUAAUGUGUUAUGCUUCACAGAAGGAGUUUAAGAUCAGUGUAAAUAGAUAUACACCCAAUAGAAGUCAUUGCAAUAUACACGAGCAGACAUGUCCAAGUAUGCUUAUAGUUGCACUAUUCAAAUCAACCUAAACUACUUGAAAUUAAACGGCGAUUGACAGGAAAAUAAAAUGUGGCAUUCAAACAUGGAAUUCUAUAAGGCAGCAAAAAUGAACGGACUACAGCUACAUACAAUACAGAUGAAUCUUAAAAACAUAAUGCAUGAAAACAUAAGUUUCAAAGAUUACUAAUAACAUAAAACCCCCUCUACAUAAAAAAGUAACUUAAGGCCAGGCACAGUGGCUCAUGCCUGUAAUCCCAGUGCUUUGGGAGACCGAGGUGGGCGAAUCACCUGAGGUCAGGAGUUCAAGACCAGCCUGGCCAACAUUGUGCAACCCCGUCUCUACUAAAAACACAAAAAUUAGCCAGGUAUGGUGUUGCAUGCCUGUAAUCUCAGCUACUCAGGAGGCUGAGGCAGGAGAAUUGCUUGAACCCAGGAGGCAGAGGUUGCAGUGAGCCGGGAUCACGCCACUGCACUCCAGCCUUGGCAACAGAGUGAGACUCCAUCUAAAAAAAAAAAAAAAAGUAACUUAAAAAAUUAUUUAGUAGGUAUACCUACAGUGAUAAAACUACAUAAAAAUCCUAAGAGUAGUACUUACACUGGGGGUGGGAAGGCAGGGACAGGAAGAGGGAGAGUAGUACACAGGUGGAUUAUUGUCAGUGUUUCAAACAAACAUUUGUUCAUGUUAACUCAUUAUAUUAUUGAACAUUAAUAAUCAAAGGACCAUGCAUAAGGAAAAAACUGACACGGAAUAUCAAAGUAUUGGCAGAGAAAAACCAUGAUGAGUAUAUAGUGAUGUUCACAGUGAAAUGCCAUAGGAUACUCAGUUUUGUGCAAAAUAAAUAACAAAACUCAGAACUCAUCAUAAGGGAACAUGCCACAGAAUCUGACUCUGGCCACCUCUAAUCGUUCCUCAUGUCUGCUUUUUCAUUUGUUUGUUUGUUUUGAGACAGAGCCUUGCUCUGUUGCCCAGGCUGGAGUGCAGUGGCACGAUCCUGGCUCACUGCAACCUCUGCCUCCUGGGUUCAAGUGAUUUUCCUGCCUCAGCCUCCCAAGUAGCUGGGAUUACAGACGUGCACCACCACACCUGGUUAUUGUAUUCUUAGUAGAGACAGGGUUUCACCAUGUUGGCCAAGCUGUUUUCAAACUCCUGGCCUCAAGUGAUCCACCCACCUCAACCCCACAAAGUGCCUGUAACCACUGCACGAGGACUCCUCACGUCUGUUUGAUCCUUACCUGACUUCUUUGGGAACCAUCUUCCUUCUAGUUUGAAUCCCUAAUUGUAGAUAUUUCCUGUGACUUUAUCUUUGCUCCUCUUUUUUCUUCCCUAUAUAAUCUCUCACUGGAAGAGCACAACCACUCCCAUGGCUCCAACUGCCUUUCAGAUGCUCCCAAAUCCAUCCAUCCAACAUUGAUCUCCCACGGGUAGCAUUAAACCAACUGCUUCCAGGGUAAAUCCUCUAGGAUUCUAGCUAUUUUCUUUUUUCUUUUCUUUUUUUUUUUUUUUUUUUUUUUGAGACGGAGUCUCGAUCUGUCGCCCAGGCAGGGUGACCAGGAACUAGUCACUCAAGCUCUCUGUUAAUUUCCUCAUCUCUGAAAAGCGGUGUCUAUAGAUAUCAUUUCUAAGCUCCUGUUUCUAAAUUUCUAUGAAUUCAUGAAUUAUUGACUCUUCUUGACAUUAGCUAUUUGUCCAGGAUAUCACUAUUAUUCUAGGCUUAUCUUUGACUUAUUUCUAUUUUUGUGUGCUGAUUCCUAAUCUGAUGCCAAAUUUUGUCAUUUCUCUUAUUGAAAUGUCUCUCAAAUUUACCCCAUUUUAUCCAUUUCCUUGGUUUUCCCUUAGUCCUGGACCUAAUAAGUUUAGACUUAGAUUACUUGAAAGGUGUCCAGACAGGUUUCCCUGCUUCCUGUCCCCUCCUUCAUUCAAGUCCUCUGACACACCACUUCUAGAUUAUUCAUGAAAAUAUAAUAAAAAUUGUCACACCCACUUAAGAGCAUUCUUAUUUAAUUCUGUGUUAUCUACUAAAGCAAUUCCAAUAUCUCUGGCUAGUUUAAGACCCUCCAUGACUCCAUGUGACUGAUCUCUCCAGCUUUCUUACCACUCCUCAGCACUUAAACUGCAUUGAAACGAGUGUCAUUGAAGUCACACAAGCAUGUACCUAAACUCCAGCUUCUAAGCCUUUAUCCAUGCCAAUUCCUCAAACUAAAAUGUUCUCUUUCUCUUUUUUCCCAAAGAUGUGCAUUUUUCAAGGACCAACUAAAAUUCCACCUAUUUAGAGCUUUCUCUAGCAUUUCAAGUCUCUGUUAAACUUUCUUCUCACCUAAAUACAACAGCAGCUAAAACUCGAUGAUGGACAAUUGAUUAUUGCUUCUUAAUUUUUCAAAGCAUUGUUUGUUUUAAUCUCCCAACCAAAUUAAAAUAUUCCUAAAGGCAGAAAUCAUGUCUCAAAUCUUUCUUAUAGUUUCCUUUCUUAUGGUUUCUUAUUCAUUGAAUAAAUAUUAAUCUCAAGUGCUGAAAGUGUGUACAUCCUAAAUAAAAUCAGUAUCUAUGAGGAUAUGUUCAAUUUAACCUUUAUUGAGCACUACUUUUAUAAGGGUCUGUGAUAGUCAUGAGGGACUUGAAACUUGAAUACAUAAUUCUCCUUGAGAAGCUCAGACUCUUUUAAAUUUGGAGUAAUACAUUCUACUACCUGU
This 5449-nucleotide long non-coding RNA is filed under the name Homo sapiens (human). RNAcentral describes it as "non-protein coding lnc-SCLT1-8:5". Lineage: Eukaryota; Metazoa; Chordata; Mammalia; Primates; Hominidae. The record is from RNAcentral.